CACCAGCCCCUCGAGUGGUGGGGAUGAUUAUUUGGCCUAAAGCGUCCGUAGCCGGCCGGGUAAGUUUCCCGUUAAAUCCAGCGUCUCAAGCGUUGGACUGCGGGAAAUACUGCCUGGCUAGAGAGUGGGAGAGGUCAGCGGUAUUCUGGGGGUAGGGGCGAAAUCCUUUGAUCCCCGGAGGACCACCAGUGGCGAAGGCUGCUGACUAGAACACGUCUGACGGUCAGGGACGAAAGCUGGGGUAGCGAAUCGGAUUAGAUACCCGGGUAGUCCCAGCCGUAAACGAUGCAUGCUAGGUGUUGGGUUGGCCACGAGCCACCCCAGUGCCGCAGGGAAGCCGUUAAGCAUGCCGCCUGGGAAGUACGAUCGCAAGAUUGAAACUUAAAGGAAUUGGCGGGGAGCACCACCAGGCGUGAAGCCUGCGGUUU
Molecule: ribosomal RNA, 428 nt
Filed under: uncultured archaeon
Lineage: Archaea
Description: bacterial SSU rRNA
Rfam family: Archaeal small subunit ribosomal RNA
Source: RNAcentral